RNAcentral lists this transfer RNA (79 nucleotides) under Staphylococcus pseudintermedius ED99. Its description in RNAcentral is "tRNA-Asp". It matches the Rfam family "tRNA". From Rfam's summary of the family: Transfer RNA (tRNA) molecules are approximately 80 nucleotides in length. The record is from RNAcentral. Lineage: Bacteria; Bacillati; Bacillota; Bacilli; Caryophanales; Staphylococcaceae.
UGGUCCCGUAGUGGAGCGGUUUAACACGCCUGCCUGUCACGCAGGAGAUCGCGGGUUCGAUUCCCGUCGGGACCGCUAA